RNAcentral lists this long non-coding RNA (3228 nucleotides) under Olea europaea (common olive). RNAcentral's name for it is "long non-coding RNA (OEUR_LNC008252)". Lineage: Eukaryota; Viridiplantae; Streptophyta; Magnoliopsida; Lamiales; Oleaceae. The record is from RNAcentral.
CCUUGAAUGAUUCCACGGGAACGAAUGAGUUUGGCAUCACCAGGUGUACGUAUUAGCUCUCUCAUAAGCAACAAAUAGGAGCUAACCUCCUAUUUUCUUUUGUCAAGUUUUUGACUUAUCCCACAGUAUCAAAGAUAUUUAUCCUCACGGAAGAUUAUUUCAUAUGAUGUGACUUUAAUUGAAAGGGCAUCAGCAAAAAUUCUUUAUUUUUUAAUAGCGUGCACACACACAUUGUGUGUGUGUGUGUAUGUAUGUAUGUAUCUAUAUAUAUAUAUAUAGAGAGAGAGAGAGUAUCUAUAAAUUUAGAGUAAAAAGAUAUUAAAUACUCCAAUAACCUAUUUAUCAUGAAUGAUGCUAUAUGUAUAACAAUCAUGACAAUUUGGUUGACAUUCCCUUUUAUGUGAAGUAAAUAUGUAUAGUGAUGCGAUAGAUGAGUUCAAAAUCAAGAGUGCAUAUGUUGCCAUGUGAAAGAAUACAAAAAUGGUGUAAGAGAGAAUGUAAAUGUAGCAAUGUUGAUUUGUCUUUAAUAUUUAAUUUUACUUCUUCCAAUAUGUAUUUAUUAUUUUCUCUUAUCAUUUAUUUUUACCAACUUCCCUCAAAAAUUAUUACUUCCUCUAUCUCGUAAAGAUAGAUUUUUUUUUUUUACACAAAUUAAGAAAAUAUAAUUAAUAUAGUUAGAAACAUAAAUUUUACCUACAUUUUUUUAAUAUACUCCUACAUUAAUAAUCAUUUAAUUAUGAGUAAUUCAUAUUUAUUUAUAACAAUGUACAUUUAAUAGGAAGAUAUUAAAAAAUUAAGAAAUCAACUAUACUCUCAACAAGGGGAGUGUCUUAGAGCAUUUUAGACUCUUAAAAUAUAAGAUCAUAUCCAUUUUAAAGAGUCAAUCCUUAAAAUUAUGUUACAAGAAACUCUUCAAAUUUGCAUUUUAAAAUAGAUAGUGGAUUGGAGAGCCAAACAUUCUUUAUUAAUAAAUGUCCUCAAACUAAUUCAAUUUUCAAUGUAGUAGAAUAAUAUAAUAAUUUUGAGAGAAGCCAGCGAAAAUAAAAGAGGAAAAAUAAUAAAUAUAUUUUGUGAGUAUUAAAAAUUUAGUGUUUUAAAAAAUGUCUGUUGGAUUACUUAAUUUUUUUUUUUCAAUUUUUAAAUGCUCUCUAAAUUGUUAAAUAUGAUAUUUAAAAAUAGAAUCACUUGAAAAUGUUCUAUUAAUUUCGAACAAAUAAAAAAGAAAAGCAAGUUUAUUUUUAUUGGAUGGAGAGAAUAUAUUCUUCAUUUUCUUUGUAUAUAUGUUUAAUUGGAUCAAUAUAUGGAGCAUAGAAAGUUGAAAUAUUUUGAGUGUAUUUAAUUAUAGAGUUGAUGUAGAACAUAUUGUUGAAUGGUUGAAGAAGAGUUGGGUAAAAAUGGGGAAAAAGUAAUGGCGGAGAGAAAACAUUCGAAUUUAGGAUCGAGCCCAUAAGACCAUUUCGAAAAGAGGACAACGAACGAGCAAUAUUCAUCGUUACGCCAUGAUGUCCGAUGGAUUUCGACCAUUCGAGUUUGUUUAGGACUCGAAAACUAAUUUUUAAAGUUUAGCACUAUUUGUUUCAUUUAAUUUAUUUUGAAUUCUUUUUAAUUUUAGUUUGUUUAAACUUUGUUUUCAUUAGUUUUAGUUAUUUUAAACCAUUAUUCCAUAUAAACCCUUAUAAAUGAGGGGUAAUUUCGUUGUUUUGAUUAUCUUUUCUAGAAUAAAUUUUUUUUCGAGUUUAUUCUUUUCAUAAUUUGUUGAAUUCUAAAUUUCGUGUUCUUAAUGUUUUCGUUUGAAUUCCUCGUCGUGCAAUACGUCAAGAGUGCUUUUGACUUUCCAAAUUUGGAGAGCUAAACAUACUUUAUUUUAAAGACGUUAUUUUGAAGAGUAUCUUGGAGCAUAUCUUCAAGGAUUGAAUCUUUAAAAUAGAAAUCAUUUCACUUUGAAGAAUCUUUUUGAGAUGAUCUAAGGUCGAGAAAAUAAAUUUCAUAUUCAUACCCAUUAAAUAAUACCACAUCACAGGUGAUCAUCCCAAGUGAGAAUAAGUAGCAUUAUUAUUUACAUUAUUUCUUACAAUUUUUUAAAUGAUUUUGGGAACCCAAUCAACACAAUCAAUCUUACAAAGUGCGUUGAAAUAUAUAAUUGUUAAAAUUACAUUAGAGUCUAGCAAGAAACGGCUUAAGAUCUCCACAAACAUUUGACAGUUUGAAUUAAUAAAUCUCCAGAACUUCAUUCCACAGUCGAGAAAUUAAAUUCAAAUGUAAACAAACAGAAAAUUGAUUGCAAAUAUAAUAUUGAUCAAAUUACAAACGAUAGUCAAUCAUAGACUAGCCUCUGUAAAAUUGGAGAAUGGAGUAAACAGUUUGCAGUAUUGUUAAAAUGAAGACAAAACUAACAAUUUGCCAGUAUUUUGUCCAAAGUGGGGGAGAAUAAUCAUUAGUCUGAAGUUUUACGCGGCGAAGGUUUUUAUUAUAGCUUCCAUCGAGAUCUAGUCCUCUUAAGAUUCUUGGCAGCUCGAGAUUGUGUUUAAAAGUUCCUUGAAUGAUUCCAUGGGAACGAAUGAGUUUGGCAUCACCAGGCGUACGUAUCAGCUCGCUCAUAAACAACAAAUAGGUGCUAACCUCCUGUUUGCUUUGGUCAAGUUUUUGACUGAUUUCGUAGCGUCUGAGAUUUUGAAACAUUAACUCUGUAUCGUCUCCAACAUAGAAAUGAGGCAAGUAAAGAAUCGGAUAUGCCUUGCAACGCCAUAUACUAUUUGUGAAACGGAUUCCUCUGCUUCCAUUCGAACGAUUUAGACGCCUGAAAUGUAUACCAACUUUUCUUAAUUCUGUUGCCGACCAAGAUAUUUUAUUAUCAAUAUCGUGCUGAGCUUCCAAGUCCUUCUCUUCUUCCUCCUCCUCCUCCUCUCCUUCAUAUUUUGGCCCGAGAAUCAGCAACUGCAGGCCAUGAAGCAAAUCAGAAGGCUGCUGCUGUUGAAGCCAAUUAAAUCUUGAUGCAAAUACCUUCCUAGAGUCGUGAACUUCUUGUGCAGGCAACAAUAACAAUUCAUACAAAGCUGUCCUGCACAGAUCUGAUGGUUGCUCCCAUUUCCACUUUUUUAUGACAUUCUUGAAGUAGCUUUGCUUCAUUAAUUCCUUGAGCACUGUGAAUGGAAUUUGAUUUCCAACGAAGAACAUAGCCUCAAUCAAUUCUUUAAUAUCCUUGUAAUUUUUUUUUUGACCGGAUAUGAU